CAGCAGCCACGGUAAUACGAAGGGGGCUAGCGUUGCUCGGAAUGACUGGGCGUAAAGGGCGCGUAGGCGGCGAUCAAAGUCAGGCGUGAAAUUCCUGGGCUCAACCUGGGGGCUGCGCUUGAUACUUGGUUGCUUGAGUGGGGAAGAGGGUCGUGGAAUUCCCAGUGUGGAGGUGAAAUUCGUAGAUAUUGGGAAGAACACCGGUGGCGAAGGCGGCGACCUGGUCCUUGACUGACGCUGAGGCGCGAAAGCGUGGGGAGCAAACAGGAUUAGAUACCCCCGUAGUCCCUGUCUCUUAUAC
This 301-nucleotide ribosomal RNA is filed under the name uncultured bacterium. RNAcentral describes it as "partial 16S ribosomal RNA". It matches the Rfam family "Bacterial small subunit ribosomal RNA", at positions 509 to 807 of the family's 1533-position model. The record is from RNAcentral.